CGAUCGGGGAUGGGCUCGCGGCCUAUCAGCUUGUUGGUGGGGUAAUGGCCUACCAAGGCGACGACGGGUAGCCGGCCUGAGAGGGCGACCGGCCACACUGGGACUGAGACACGGCCCAGACUCCUACGGGAGGCAGCAGUGGGGAAUAUUGCACAAUGGGGGAAACCCUGAUGCAGCGACGCAGCGUGCGGGAUGACGGCCUUCGGGUUGUAAACCGCUUUCAGCAGGGAAGAAGCGAAAGUGACGGUACCUGCAGAAGAAGUACCGGCUAACUACGUGCCAGCAGCCGCGGUAAUACGUAGGGUACGAGCGUUGUCCGGAAUUAUUGGGCGUAAAGAGCUCGUAGGUGGUUGGUCACGUCUGCUGUGGAAACGCAACGCUUAACGUUGCGCGUGCAGUGGGUACGGGCUGACUAGAGUGCAGUAGGGGAGUCUGGAAUUCCUGGUGUAGCGGUGAAAUGCGCAGAUAUCAGGAGGAACACCGGUGGCGAAGGCGGGACUCUGGGCUGUAACUGACACUGAGGAGCGAAAGCAUGGGGAGCGAACAGGAUUAGAUACCCUGGUAGUCCAUGCCGUAAACGUUGGGCACUAGGUGUGGGGGACAUUCCACGUUCUCCGCGCCGUAGCU
RNAcentral lists this ribosomal RNA (627 nucleotides) under Brevibacterium aureum. RNAcentral describes it as "bacterial SSU rRNA". It matches the Rfam family "Bacterial small subunit ribosomal RNA", at positions 216 to 853 of the family's 1533-position model. The record is from RNAcentral. Lineage: Bacteria; Bacillati; Actinomycetota; Actinomycetes; Micrococcales; Brevibacteriaceae.